UACGGGGGGGGUAAGCGUUGUUCGGAAUUACUGGGCGUAAAGGGCUCGUAGGCGGCCAACUAAGUCGGACGUGAAAUCCCUCAGCUUAACUGGGGAACUGCGUCCGAUACUGGAUGGCUUGGAUUUGGGAGAGGGAUGCGGAAUUCCAGGUGUAGCGGUGAAAUGCGUAGAUAUCUGGAGGAACACCGGUGGCGAAGGCGGCAUCCUGGACCAACACUGACGCUGAGUGAGCGAAAGCCAGGGGAGCAAACAGG
Molecule: ribosomal RNA, 254 nt
Filed under: uncultured bacterium
Lineage: Bacteria
Description: partial 16S ribosomal RNA
Rfam family: Bacterial small subunit ribosomal RNA
Source: RNAcentral